UGGACUGNGUACUGGUUACGCGAGCGGNACCGCAACGGAAGGGGCAGCCGACCACGGUAGGGUCAGCGACUGGGGUG
This 77-nucleotide ribosomal RNA is filed under the name uncultured bacterium. Its description in RNAcentral is "partial 16S ribosomal RNA". The record is from RNAcentral.